UGAUUGUCCACCGGGUUUGGGGAUUCAGCUUCUCCCCGAGAUAGCGUCGGGAUGUGAAAGCGCAGCCUGGGAUCCAGAGCACCCAGGCGUGGACGGUGGGCUGGUCUGGGAGGUUUCAUUUCCAGUAAAUUGCUUUCUGGAGGCAGCAUUUACAUUCUGUCCCCAGUCCUAUGUGUGUUGCAAGGCAAUUCUCGAUGGCAUUUCUAUACUUUUUGGACUAUAUGUUUAAGUAAGUUCGAAGGGCAAACAGAAGCUUGGAAACUAGACCUAAUAGCACUUAGAAAUGUCUCUCUCCCCAGACACAUUCCAGGACAGGAAAUUCCUCCUCUCCCUGGAGAGAUCUGCUUACAUUCUAGAGGAAAGAAGAAUUGGGACAAUAACACAGAUCAGGAAAAGCGAAUAGACAAGGAGAAUCUUAAGUUUCUGGGGGUCAAGAAUCCGGUGCUGCUUUUCUGGGUCCUCGGUUUAGGCUUUCUCAUGAGGCUGCCAUCAAGGUGUCAGCAGAGCUGCAGUCAUCUCCAGGCCCAACUGGAAAUGGAUGCAUUUCCAAGUUCACACACAUGGCUGCUGGCCAGAAGCUUCCCACAGUUCCUUGCUCCUGGCGCCUCCACAGGGCAGCUCACAACAUGGACACUUGCUUCCCCAGAGCAAGCCCAGUGAGGAGAGCCAGAGAGAGAGAGUACCAGCAAGACAGAAGUCAUAACCGUUUAUAACUUAACCUCAGAAGUGACAUCCCAUCACUAUUUUUGUAUUUCUGUUUAUUAG
RNAcentral lists this long non-coding RNA (765 nucleotides) under Equus caballus (horse). Its description in RNAcentral is "lncRNA (ENSECAG00000048124.1)". Lineage: Eukaryota; Metazoa; Chordata; Mammalia; Perissodactyla; Equidae. The record is from RNAcentral.